RNAcentral lists this transfer RNA (87 nucleotides) under Hippeastrum rutilum. RNAcentral describes it as "tRNA-Ser". The stretch from base 22 to 87 matches the Rfam family "tRNA", at positions 1 to 49 of the family's 71-position model. Rfam says of the family: Transfer RNA (tRNA) molecules are approximately 80 nucleotides in length. Their secondary structure includes four short double-helical elements and three loops (D, anti-codon, and T loops). The record is from RNAcentral. RNAcentral also lists the same sequence under 9 other names. Lineage: Eukaryota; Viridiplantae; Streptophyta; Magnoliopsida; Asparagales; Amaryllidaceae.
AUAAAAUGGAGAUUACCUCUGGGAGAGGUGGCUGAGUGGUUGAUAGCUCCGGUCUUGAAAACCGGUAUAGUUCCGAUAACUAUCGAG